Oryza sativa Japonica Group (Japanese rice) is the source of this 139-nucleotide small nucleolar RNA. It matches the Rfam family "Small nucleolar RNA Z247". Rfam says of the family: Z247 is a member of the C/D class of snoRNA which contain the C (UGAUGA) and D (CUGA) box motifs. Lineage: Eukaryota; Viridiplantae; Streptophyta; Magnoliopsida; Poales; Poaceae. The record is from Rfam.
CAACUUGAUGCUGAGGAACUAAUUGCAUUUAUUCUUAAUGGAUUAGAUGAUGAUUAUCAUUCUGUGGUAUCUACCCUAGCGGCAAAGUCUGAACCUCUCACUUUGUCAGAAACCUAUGCACAAUUGUUGAACUUUGAGA